Non-coding RNA from Esox lucius (northern pike), 523 nucleotides. The record is from the annotation of a RefSeq genome assembly. Lineage: Eukaryota; Metazoa; Chordata; Actinopteri; Esociformes; Esocidae.
UGAAUGUCAGAAUGGGAAAGAAAGGUAACACUGCUCCCACCCUGACCAUCCUGGCCCCCUCUAGUGAGGAACUGUCCAGUACAACAACAGCCACACUGAUGUGUCUGGCCAACAAGGGCUUCCCCUCAGACUGGACCUUGAGUUGGAAAGUGGACGGGAACAACAAGAAUCAGAAGUCCAGUUCCAAGGUCCUGGAGAAGGAUGGUCUAUACAGCUGGAGCAGCACCCUGACUCUCACUGCCCAGGAGUGGAACAAGGUGGGAGAGGUGACCUGUGAAGCCCAGAAGAGCUCCCAGACUCCAGUCAUCAAGACCCUGAGGAGGGAUGACUGUUCUGGUUAGGACCUGUCUGUCACAUUACCCUCUGAAGAGAGGUUGCUGGUUCUUUGGCUUUUACUCUGUUUUGACAUCAGAUGUUUUGUCUUAUAGAUCACUUUCAUGUAGACUAACAGUAAGCUUUGCAUGAGUUCAUGUGUCCAUCCUCUCUGUAGAUGGACAUUUGAUAGAUAUGAUAUGGUCUGCUU